RNAcentral lists this long non-coding RNA (1323 nucleotides) under Homo sapiens (human). RNAcentral's name for it is "novel transcript". Lineage: Eukaryota; Metazoa; Chordata; Mammalia; Primates; Hominidae. The record is from RNAcentral.
ACCACUGUCAGAGAAGUGAUACUAAUGGCGGACUACUGAUUGUUUGGGGACAUCCGAAAUCACUCAGGAUUGUGGUGACCAGUUGAACAGAGAUAUGCCAAAAGCAGGCAGUGAUUUAUAUCCCUGCAGAGAAUAAGGAUGAUUCAGAAGCUGAGCUGAGUCAUUGAAAAACAUUGAAAGAGAACACAUGAGAGCCGAAGAGAAUCUAGCAAUCUGAAUGUCCUCCACUCUCUAAAAGACGUUCAGAUGACCCCCAGAGAGUUGCCACUGGUUGUGCUGUGUCCACUCAGUCACCAGUCAGAACCUGCAGCCAGCAGCACCUGCUUACUACAAGGUGGUUGACCAUGGUCUGUGGACAAGAGAAGGAGUCUCGCCCUGUCACCAGGCUGGAGUGCGAUGGUGCAAUCUCUGCUCACUGCAACUUCCACCUCCCGGGUUCAAAUUUCUCCUGCCUCAGCCUCCUAAGUGGCUGGGACUACAGGUGCCUGCCGCCAUGCCUGGCUAAUUUUUUGUAUUUUAGUAGAGAUGGGGUUUAGGCUGGUCUCGAACUCCUGAGCUCAGGCAAUCUGCCCUCCUGAGCUCAGGCAAUCUGCCUGCCUGGGCCUCCCAAAGUGCUAGGAUUACAGGCAUGAGCCACCGCCCUCAGCCACUAUCUUAUUUUUUAGCCUAUCUGAAUUAAAAACAUAAAGUCUUCUCUAUGUAUGUUGAUGAUAAACUUUGGGUUUCAAGGAAAAGAGUCACUCAGGCAACUUCCAAGAAUGGGAGGGGAGAAGGGGUUGUUAUAGGAUACAGUGGAAAUAAAUCUGGGAGGAAUCUCAAUCAUGUUCCAAGAGCUUGCAGGGGCCCAGAGAAAUUCUCACAAUGAGGCCUCACAGGAAAAGCAAGAACACCGACAGCAGGAAAGCUUGGAGGCUAAGAGUUCCCUUGGAAGUUGAACUACUGCCUGAGAAUAUUAAAACAAAAACAGAAACACGUAAAUAGCCAGCCCUGAAACGAGCCUCUCAACUUCUGAUAGGUUAUAUUUACAUUUAUGUACUUUCCUAUCACAGUUUAUAAUCAAGCUAAGGCUAGUAGCCUUGAAUAUUUUUAGGGCUGCAAUUUGUACAUCAUCUAAGCUAACAGAUGAAAAGUGCAAGUGUAGUUGCCUAAGCACAGGUACAUUCGUUCAACAACAAAUCUUUACCUGAAUGUCCAUUGUAUGUCCGACGCUGUCCUGUAUCCUGGGGUGGCAGCCUGGGGACCUGAGAGGACUUUGAGUGGAGCUAAAGAAACAGAAAAUAACUUCAACUAAUAAAUGUCUUUUAAUAUCUCUUGCAAUGGAAA